Molecule: ribosomal RNA, 440 nt
Filed under: uncultured bacterium
Lineage: Bacteria
Description: bacterial SSU rRNA
Rfam family: Bacterial small subunit ribosomal RNA
Source: RNAcentral
AACGAACGCUGGCGGCAUGCCUAACACAUGCAAGUCGAACGAAGUCUUCGGACUUAGUGGCGCACGGGUGCGUAACGCGUGGGAAUCUGCCCUUGGGUGCGGAAUAACUUCUCGAAAGGGAUGCUAAUACCGCAUAAUGUCGUAAGACCAAAGAUUUAUCGCCCAAGGAUGAGCCCGCGUAAGAUUAGCUAGUUGGUGGGGUAAAAAGCCUACCAAGGCGACGAUCUUUAGCUGGUCUGAGAGGAUGAUCAGCCACACUGGGACUGAGACACGGCCCAGACUCCUACGGGAGGCAACAGUGGGGAAUAUUGGACAAUGGGCGAAAGCCUGAUCCAGCAAUGCCGCGUGAGUGAUGAAGGCCUAGGGUUGUAAAGCUCUUUUACCAGGGAUGAUAAUGACAGUACCUGGAGAAUAAGCUCCGGCUAACUCCGUGCCAGCAG